Molecule: ribosomal RNA, 1361 nt
Filed under: Staphylococcus aureus
Lineage: Bacteria; Bacillati; Bacillota; Bacilli; Caryophanales; Staphylococcaceae
Description: 16S ribosomal RNA
Rfam family: Bacterial small subunit ribosomal RNA
Source: RNAcentral
UAGCGGCGGACGGGUGAGUAACACGUGGAUAACCUACCUAUAAGACUGGGAUAACUUCGGGAAACCGGAGCUAAUACCGGAUAAUAUUUUGAACCGCAUGGUUCAAAAGUGAAAGACGGUCUUGCUGUCACUUAUAGAUGGAUCCGCGCUGCAUUAGCUAGUUGGUAAGGUAACGGCUUACCAAGGCAACGAUGCAUAGCCGACCUGAGAGGGUGAUCGGCCACACUGGAACUGAGACACGGUCCAGACUCCUACGGGAGGCAGCAGUAGGGAAUCUUCCGCAAUGGGCGAAAGCCUGACGGAGCAACGCCGCGUGAGUGAUGAAGGUCUUCGGAUCGUAAAACUCUGUUAUUAGGGAAGAACAUAUGUGUAAGUAACUGUGCACAUCUUGACGGUACCUAAUCAGAAAGCCACGGCUAACUACGUGCCAGCAGCCGCGGUAAUACGUAGGUGGCAAGCGUUAUCCGGAAUUAUUGGGCGUAAAGCGCGCGUAGGCGGUUUUUUAAGUCUGAUGUGAAAGCCCACGGCUCAACCGUGGAGGGUCAUUGGAAACUGGAAAACUUGAGUGCAGAAGAGGAAAGUGGAAUUCCAUGUGUAGCGGUGAAAUGCGCAGAGAUAUGGAGGAACACCAGUGGCGAAGGCGACUUUCUGGUCUGUAACUGACGCUGAUGUGCGAAAGCGUGGGGAUCAAACAGGAUUAGAUACCCUGGUAGUCCACGCCGUAAACGAUGAGUGCUAAGUGUUAGGGGGUUUCCGCCCCUUAGUGCUGCAGCUAACGCAUUAAGCACUCCGCCUGGGGAGUACGACCGCAAGGUUGAAACUCAAAGGAAUUGACGGGGACCCGCACAAGCGGUGGAGCAUGUGGUUUAAUUCGAAGCAACGCGAAGAACCUUACCAAAUCUUGACAUCCUUUGACAACUCUAGAGAUAGAGCCUUCCCCUUCGGGGGACAAAGUGACAGGUGGUGCAUGGUUGUCGUCAGCUCGUGUCGUGAGAUGUUGGGUUAAGUCCCGCAACGAGCGCAACCCUUAAGCUUAGUUGCCAUCAUUAAGUUGGGCACUCUAAGUUGACUGCCGGUGACAAACCGGAGGAAGGUGGGGAUGACGUCAAAUCAUCAUGCCCCUUAUGAUUUGGGCUACACACGUGCUACAAUGGACAAUACAAAGGGCAGCGAAACCGCGAGGUCAAGCAAAUCCCAUAAAGUUGUUCUCAGUUCGGAUUGUAGUCUGCAACUCGACUACAUGAAGCUGGAAUCGCUAGUAAUCGUAGAUCAGCAUGCUACGGUGAAUACGUUCCCGGGUCUUGUACACACCGCCCGUCACACCACGAGAGUUUGUAACACCCGAAGCCGGUGGAGUAACC